RNAcentral lists this ribosomal RNA (1260 nucleotides) under 'Suaeda aegyptiaca' witches'-broom phytoplasma. Its description in RNAcentral is "bacterial SSU rRNA". It matches the Rfam family "Bacterial small subunit ribosomal RNA", at positions 17 to 1280 of the family's 1533-position model. The record is from RNAcentral. Lineage: Bacteria; Bacillati; Mycoplasmatota; Mollicutes; Acholeplasmatales; Acholeplasmataceae. RNAcentral also lists the same sequence under 1 other name.
UCCUGGCUCAGGAUUAACGCUGGCGAGCGUGCCUAUACAUGCAAGUCGAACGGGAACCUCUUAAAAGGAGGUUUUUAGUGGCGAACGGGUGAGUAACACGUAAGUAACCUGCCUUUAAGACGAGAUAACAACCGGAAGGUUACUAAGACUGGAUAGGAAACAAAAAGGCAUCUUUUUGUUUUUAAAAGACCUUCUUACGAAGGUAUGCUUAAAGAGGGACUUGCGCCACAUUAGUUAGUUGGUAGGGUAAAGGCCUACCAAGACGAUGAUGUGUAGCUGGACUGAGAGGUUGAACAGCCACAUUGGGACUGAGACACGGCCCAAACUCCUACGGGAGGCAGCAGUAGGGAAUUUUCGGCAAUGGAGGAAACUCUGACCGAGCAACGCCGCGUGAACGAUGAAAUAUUUCGGUAUGUAAAGUUCUUUUAUUGAAGAAGAAAAAGUAGUGGAAAAACUAUAUUGACGUUAUUCAAUGAAUAAGCCCCGGCUAACUAUGUGCCAGCAGCCGCGGUAAGACAUAGGGGGCGAGCGUUAUCCGGAAUUAUUGGGCGUAAAGGGUGCGUAGGCUGUUAGAUAAGUCUAUAAUUUAAUUUCAGUGCUUAACGCUGUCUUGUUAUAGAAACUGUCUUGACUAGAGUGAGAUAGAGGCAAGCGGAAUUCCAUGUGUAGCGGUAAAAUGUGUAAAUAUAUGGAGGAACACCAGAAGCGUAGGCGGCUUGCUGGGUCUUUACUGACGCUGAGGCACGAAAGCGUGGGUAGCAAACAGGAUUAGAUACCCUGGUAGUCCACGCCGUAAACGAUGAGUACUAAGUGUCGGGGUAAAACUCGGUACUGAAUUAACACAUUAAGUACUCCGCCUGAGUAGUACGUACGCAAGUAUGAAACUUAAAGGAAUUGACGGCACUCCGCACAAGCGGUGGAUCAUGUUGUUUAAUUCGAAGAUACCCGAAAAAUCUUCCCAGGUCUUGACAUACUCUGCAAAGCUAUAGAAAUAUAGUUGAGGUUUCAGGGAUACGCUGGUGCAUGGUGGUCGUCAGCUCGGGUCAUGAGCAGUUAGGUUAAUUCAUAAAACGAUCGCAACCCUUGUCGUUAAUUGCCAGCACAUAAUGGUGGGGACUUUAACGAGACUGCCAAUUAAACAUUGGAGGAAGGUGAGGAUUACGUCAAAUCAUCAUGCCCCUUAUGAUCUGGGCUACAAACGUGAUACAAUGGCUGUGACAAAGAGUAGCUGAAACGCGAGUUUUUAGCCAAUCUCAAAAA